GACGAACGCUGGCGGCGUGCUUAACACAUGCAAGUCGAACGGAAAGGCCCUGCUUUUGUGGGGUGCUCGAGUGGCGAACGGGUGAGUAACACGUGAGUAACCUGCCCUUGACUUUGGGAUAACUUCAGGAAACUGGGGCUAAUACCGGAUAGGAGCUCCUGCUGCAUGGUGGGGGUUGGAAAGUUUCGGCGGUUGGGGAUGGACUCGCGGCUUAUCAGCUUGUUGGUGGGGUAGUGGCUUACCAAGGCUUUGACGGGUAGCCGGCCUGAGAGGGUGACCGGCCACAUUGGGACUGGGAUACGGCCCAGACUCCUACGGGAGGCAGCAGUGGGGAAUAUUGCACAAUGGGCGGAGGCCUGAUGCAGCAACGCCGCGUGCGGGAUGACGGCCUUCGGGUUGUAAUCCGCUUUCGCCUGUGACGAAGCGUGAGUGACGGUAAUGGGUAAAGAAGCACCGGCUAACUACGUG
RNAcentral lists this ribosomal RNA (468 nucleotides) under uncultured bacterium. RNAcentral's name for it is "partial 16S ribosomal RNA". It matches the Rfam family "Bacterial small subunit ribosomal RNA", at positions 28 to 507 of the family's 1533-position model. The record is from RNAcentral.